UAAAAAUGUGUAGAACAGGUAUC
This 23-nucleotide microRNA is filed under the name Strongylocentrotus purpuratus (purple sea urchin). RNAcentral's name for it is "spu-miR-5993". Lineage: Eukaryota; Metazoa; Echinodermata; Echinoidea; Camarodonta; Strongylocentrotidae. The record is from miRBase by way of RNAcentral.